This 76-nucleotide transfer RNA is filed under the name uncultured Caballeronia sp. RNAcentral's name for it is "tRNA-Ala-GGC". It matches the Rfam family "tRNA". Rfam says of the family: Transfer RNA (tRNA) molecules are approximately 80 nucleotides in length. The record is from RNAcentral. Lineage: Bacteria; Pseudomonadati; Pseudomonadota; Betaproteobacteria; Burkholderiales; Burkholderiaceae.
GGGAGUAUAGCUCAGUUGGGAGAGCGUUUGCAUGGCAUGCAAGAGGUCAGUGGUUCGAUCCCGCUUACCUCCACCA